GUUCGGAUCGCCAAGUUGGUUAAGGCACAGGUCUGCAAAACCUGCAUCAUGGGUUCAAGUCCCAUCCCGGACUCA
This 75-nucleotide transfer RNA is filed under the name Caudoviricetes sp. RNAcentral's name for it is "tRNA-Cys". It matches the Rfam family "tRNA". From Rfam's summary of the family: Transfer RNA (tRNA) molecules are approximately 80 nucleotides in length. The record is from RNAcentral. Lineage: Duplodnaviria; Heunggongvirae; Uroviricota; Caudoviricetes.